Molecule: unclassified non-coding RNA, 465 nt
Filed under: Bombus terrestris (buff-tailed bumblebee)
Lineage: Eukaryota; Metazoa; Arthropoda; Insecta; Hymenoptera; Apidae
Description: misc RNA ENSBTSG00005031660.1
Source: RNAcentral
GAGAGCAGAAUUCAGCGUGUUGCGUGAGAAUAUUACGGUUUCGUUUUAUUACGUAUCGUUAAUGAUCGCGAUAAUUAUUUCCCGCACAAUUAGAUGAUUGAAUUAUUGUUCCUGUUGUGUAAUCUACCUAUAUUUUUUAUUUCUUUGUAAAUAAAACGUUAAUGAAAUGCUCUCAGGUGCUUUUUUUCUAACACGAUUAUUUUGAACCGCAGAAUAAUCGACGAAGAAGUGACUAACUGUGCAUAAGAUUCGUUUCGUAGGCGGACCGUUAUUCGGAGAUAUUCGCAAGAUAUUUGUAGUCACGAGACUACAUAGUCACAAAGGCUCAUCGCUCUAAAGUUCAAACAAAAGCACGAAUACAUACAUCCCACGCGUGUUCUUAUACACGUAUAAUCAAACGCCAUGUUCAAGCGUCGAAAAACGAACAUCUAUUGCAGUAUGCGGAAAAACGGCACACCCCAACAG